UUUGACUACAAUGUUUAUUCAAGACUGUUUGAUUCUAGUGUGUGUAAAUUUUGACGGUGUUACUUGUACGCAAGUCUUUCAUUUGACGGUUAGCGAUGUUCCAGAUGUUUACGCGCAUUGAUACAAAAGAGGUGCUUCUGUUCUGUGUGGAAUUUAGUCAGUGCAGGGCUGCCAUUGUGAGGUCCCUAGAGGUGUACAGCAAGGUACAUGGGUCUGGUGCAGACUGGUGGUGUCUGAAGUGUGGAAAUCAUCAGUGUCUACAGCAGGAUGCUGAGACAAAACUACCUGCCCCUUGAUGAGAAAAGUAGCUGUGUCUUCCAUACACCCAGAUAUAAACAUAGGUGACAGAGCAAAACUAUUGGCUAUGGCCGAACAUCCAGUUCACUCGGGGUGGGUGGGUCAGGUCUUAAAAUAUUACAGCUGUCAAGCCUCUUGGAAACCCAGACUUCGGGGACUGUGCCUCUGGUACAGUGGGGGCUUGUUCAGCUAAGUUAGAUGGGUUUGCUGGAUGUCAAGGCCACAAAUAAUGUUUCGUUCCUUUUGCUCUUGUUCCUGAUGGUACUUCAGCCCAGCAUAGAGGCAAUGCUGUUAAACUCCUGCUAAUGUGUCUGUUCUGCACUUGUUUUUUCCUCGUACGCCUCGCUGGCAGCAGCCACAUUCUUUUGCAGUGUGGUCUGAUCAGGGUCUGGGAUAUCAAGCAGACCAAAUAUGGGUUAGACAGUAGUAACACCAUACCUGUCCUUUCCCCACUGCAAAGAUUUGGAGGUCACAGGCCCUUUAUACAAUAAGUCUGUGACAAUGUGUGUGCAUGGUGUGUUUAUUAUUCUUUCAAAGAUUUCUCCAAACUUUGAGGUUGUGAGACGUCCUUUCAAAGCUGUCCCAGUUGUCUGGUUCAAUGACUUGCAAGUGCAGAAUUAGAGGCGAUCUGUUGAAUAAGAAGAAGAAUGAUGAGAUGAAUGUUGCAAGCAAUUAACCUGCAAAUACCUUUUCAUUUCUAUUCCAAUGCUGAUAUGGUUUAACUUUACAGCUCUGAUAUAGGUCAUGUUGUCAUAUGGGGAAAAUGAUAACGCAUACAAAGAUAAAAAUGGUCUUUAUUUGACCCUCAUAUCCUGUGAGGAAUGAUGAGAUUGACAGUGACACAGUUCAUAACUUUAUUUUGAAUAUAAAAAUUUAUUCUUUCAACGCUUUCCCGUGUGCAUGCGUGCAUUGCGCCUCCUUCCGACGUAAACGACCUCGACAUCGGACUCCGUGCCGGAGUGGGCCUGCUCGUCCUCCGGUGCCAUGUCAUGCUUGGGCUGUUCGUCAUCUGACCCCGUGUCCGUGUCGGGGUGGGCCUGUGGUACGGUGUCGGAGGUGGCGGGGUACCUCGCGCCUCUGGUGGUGGUGGAGGGUGUGGCGGGGUCUAUGGCGCCCCUUUUGAAGAUAAAAGAAGGAAAUAAUAUACUUAACGUAAAAGCUGUUGCAAAUUUUAACAAUGCACACAGAAGCGAUGUAAAAGGUAGAACUAACUGAUACGAGAUACACAAAAACAUAACAGAAUAAAGAUGAAAACUCAUGGAACAGGGUGUCCAGGGCGCACCACGCCAUAAACCGCACCCACUCCUCGGGGGGUGUUUCUACCACAUGCUGCAUAACGUGCAAACGACGUCUGGUGUUUUCCCUAUAUGAAGAUACAUGAUUAUAAGUUAAGGAGGUGUUUUUAACAACGGUUGGAAAAUGUACAGAGCUAUCUCAGCAUGAUGUUUAAGAGUACAUCUUUAAAACGGUAUCAAACGAAUCGUAUUUACGACAAAAAGAAAAAAAAGAGUGAAAACUCACCGUUCUGGCCUAUAAGAAUGUGGACGAGGUCCCCACAUGCCCUCCCCCCGGUAUAGCCGGUCAUUCUCUGGUCAUGAAGGAUCCGCAUAAGCGGCGCCCUGUCCGAUUGCUUUUUUAACUGUAUUUGUAACAGCUGUAUUCCUAUUAUACAACAAAUAAGACGAACAUUUAUUAAACUGAGCGCACGGGUCGUCAUCGAAGAAAAAUUGAAUUAGUUUUGGCAAAACAGUUUCGA
Branchiostoma floridae (Florida lancelet) is the source of this 2053-nucleotide long non-coding RNA. RefSeq lists it as uncharacterized. NCBI's taxonomy places the organism in Eukaryota, Metazoa, Chordata, Leptocardii, Amphioxiformes, Branchiostomatidae. The record is from RefSeq and is a predicted model, not a curated record. The transcript is spliced from 2 exons.